Molecule: ribosomal RNA, 160 nt
Filed under: uncultured Klebsiella sp.
Lineage: Bacteria; Pseudomonadati; Pseudomonadota; Gammaproteobacteria; Enterobacterales; Enterobacteriaceae
Description: partial 16S ribosomal RNA
Rfam family: Bacterial small subunit ribosomal RNA
Source: RNAcentral
UGGGGAAUAUUGCUCUAUGGGCGCAAGCCUGAUGCAGCCAUGCCGCGUGUGUGAAGAAGGCCUUCGGGUUGUAAAGCACUUUCAGCGGGGAGGAAGGCGGUGAGGUUAAUAACCUCAUCGAUUGACGUUACCCGCAGAAGAAGCACCGGCUAACUCCGUG